Molecule: long non-coding RNA, 1101 nt
Organism: Carassius gibelio (silver crucian carp)
Lineage: Eukaryota; Metazoa; Chordata; Actinopteri; Cypriniformes; Cyprinidae
Exons: 3
Source: RefSeq, a predicted model, not a curated record
GCAAAAAAAUGGAUGCUGUCGAUCGAGGGGAGGGUCGUAAUCCCACCUGGUGCUCACAUGGCAGACUUCACCACUGCCUUGGCCGCUCUCUUCGCCUGUUACUAUGUAUUCAACCUAGAGUAUCAGGUGGAAGCCAGCACAACACUGGAGUUUGUUCAGAGGUUUUUAGUCAGGAUUAAUCCUGACUCCAACAAGUGCACUGCCAAGGAGCAGAUGAGCAAGACGACUGGGAGAGUGGUGAAGCGGAAGACUUCAUACAUGAACCCCCAUGUCAUCUCCUUCAUCAGGGACUUCACGGAGUUCUAUUUGCUAACUGACUAGAUACAGGGCUCCAACUAGGAUUCUAGGUCUCCAAGGUCAGGGCAUGCAAGAGGCCAUAGUGGCAGGGGAAGUUUAUUUUCCUUUCUGUUUUAAAUGUUCAUGCAAAUGUUAAAUAUUUAAAUUUUUUUUUAAUGUUCAAUAUUUUAUUUUAUUUCAGUAUUGCCAUAGUGUUAUUUAUUACUCUUUAGAAUGUGGUAAUAAUCAGUUAUUUGCACAGCUUCAAAGUAGUUAAAUUUUUUGACCGUGUUGUAUCAAUUUGCGUUAUUGUUCUGCCAUAGCAACCAGUCAUGUGGAACUAGUGAAUGAACUAGUAACAGUUUGCUCUGUAACUUUACAAAACUUGUAAUGAAAUAGCCUCGUUUUGUAAAAUUUUCUUUAGUCAGUAAUUAAAUUUAGCAACAGUAGAAUACGCAGAUAAUAGACUUCACGCCAUUAAAAAUUACAAACACAGAAUGUUCGUUAACUUUGGAUGGCAUAAUGGCAUGUUGUCCAAUGUCAAUUAUCCCUUUAUGUUGUACCUGUUUUGUCAUUCCUGUUCACCAAAUGUUUUUAAAUAAAUAACUGUUAACAAUUUUCUUAUUGUCUGCAGUUGAUUGCAGGGUUUUAGAAUAUGGGUGAUUCUUUUAAUGAUGGCUAAUAUUAAAUCACAGUGAUACAGUAUUUAAAUUGUACAGUGAGAAACUGAAUUUACAGUGAUUAACUGUUAUCUACUGCUUAUAGUACUGUAUUGCAUACAAUACAUAAAAACAGUGCUUAACUGUUUUUUGUAUGUAAAUACAA